Molecule: ribosomal RNA, 329 nt
Filed under: Salmonella enterica subsp. enterica serovar Newport str. L0167
Lineage: Bacteria; Pseudomonadati; Pseudomonadota; Gammaproteobacteria; Enterobacterales; Enterobacteriaceae
Description: bacterial SSU rRNA
Rfam family: Bacterial small subunit ribosomal RNA
Source: RNAcentral
UUAAAUUGAAGAGUUUGAUCAUGGCUCAGAUUGAACGCUGGCGGCAGGCCUAACACAUGCAAGUCGAACGGUAACAGGAAGCAGCUUGCUGCUUCGCUGACGAGUGGCGGACGGGUGAGUAAUGUCUGGGAAACUGCCUGAUGGAGGGGGAUAACUACUGGAAACGGUGGCUAAUACCGCAUAACGUCGCAAGACCAAAGAGGGGGACCUUCGGGCCUCUUGCCAUCAGAUGUGCCCAGAUGGGAUUAGCUAGUUGGUGAGGUAACGGCUCACCAAGGCGACGAUCCCUAGCUGGUCUGAGAGGAUGACCAGCCACACUGGAACUGAGA